Molecule: ribosomal RNA, 406 nt
Filed under: uncultured bacterium
Lineage: Bacteria
Description: partial 16S ribosomal RNA
Rfam family: Bacterial small subunit ribosomal RNA
Source: RNAcentral
AUUGAACGCUGGCGGCAGGCUUAACACAUGCAAGUCGAGCGAGCGGCGGACGGGUGAGUAAUGUCUGGGAAACUGCCUGAUGGAGGGGGAUAGCUACUGGAAACGGUAGCUAAUACCGCAUACCAUCAGAUGUGCACAGAUGGGAGUAGCUAGUGGGGGGGGUAAUGGCUCACCUAGGCGACGGUCCAUAGCUGGUCUGAGAGGAUGACCAUCCACACUGGAACGUAGACACGGUCCAGACUCCGACGGUAGGCAGCAUUGGGGAAUAUUGCACAAUGGGCGCAAGCCUGAUGCAGCCAUGCCGCGUGUGUGAAGAAGUCCUUCGGGUUGUAAAGCACUUUCAGCGAGGUGGCGUUACUCGCAGAAUAAGCACCGGCUAACUCCGUGCCAGCCGCCGCGGUAAUAC